CUGGGGAUAAGCUUGGUGCUAUCUCUUCUUCUUAGUUUUCUUCUUUCUUUUGUAUUAGUGUUGAUUCUAGUGAAGAGAAUCGAUUUAAUGAAUUAAUGUUUGAUUUACAAAGUUAUUUAUGGAUCACUAUUUAUCAAUUAUUGUGAAAGAUUGAGGAUGUAUAGAAGUUUUCAGUCACUGUUUAUUGCAAGGUUGUAAGUUUAGUGGAGAAGAAUUGUAAUUGAAGGAAUUUUCUUGAUUAGAUUUUGUGAAUUAGAAGUUGUUCGUUCAAGGGUUUGGAAUAUGCUUGUGUAUUCGUGAAUUACAUAGGGUACUGAAAUCGUUGUCGUGGAUGUUAUUGUAUUGAUAUGAGAGAGUGAACAGUAGGAGGAAAAGUUAAGUGUUCUUCGGUAUGGUAAGCAUUCAGCAAUAGCGGUGAAUUGCGUGACCCUAACAAUUGGAGCUCAUAUACAUGGUCAUUCCCAGUGUUCGAAUCCCCCUAUAUGGGUUUAUUCUGGGAGGUUUCUUUCGGAAUAAGUAAAACAAGCAAUCACAAUGUCUCAAUUCAAUCUUAAUUUAAUUCUAGUUAAAAUUCUAUUGGACUUUAUUCAAAAUUUAGGCCAAAAAUAAUUAAAUCUUAAAUCCUAAUAAAAUCCUAAAUCCUAAAUCAAACCUUAAAUUCUAAAACAAAUCCUAAACAAACCUUAAAUCAAAUCCUAAAUCCUAAAUCAAAUCCUAACCAAAUCCUAAAUCAAAUCCUAAAUCCUAAAUCAAAUCCUAACAAAACUCUAGAUCAAACCCUAAAUCUUAAAUCAAAUCUUAAUCAAAUCCUAACCCUAAAUCUAAACCAAAUCCUAAAUCCAAAAUCAAACUCUAAUCAAACCUUAACCCUAAAACAAAUCCUAAUCAAAUUCUAAACUCUAAACCAAUCCCUAACCAAAUCGUAGUAAUUCCUACAACAGAUUUAAAUCUCAAUAACUAAUGAAUAAACCGUUGAUCUUAAAUCAAAUUUUGCAUACUUUUUAAAAACUAAGUUGAAAACAAUCACAAAGAUUUUGAAAAGGAUCGGAAUUACCAAAUACACGAUAACUUCAAAAACAUGCUCGGGUAUUGAUCAACCUCCUUCUCCAACCUUGAUGUUAAUCUUCUAGAGCCAAUAUCUCUCUUUGACACCAUUCGAUUGAUCUCAAAAUUGUCAUAUAGAUAGAAAAACAAGUCUAAUAUUCUCUCAUAAAAAUUUCAUUUUAAUACAACAAGUAGAUUGUAAGAAAUCUUAAAAACCCUCACUAGACCUAAAAUUCUACUUUCUAAGACCUUGACCCACUUAAACCUCAAUAAUCCUCAAUUCAACCGUUAGAUCGAGUUCAAAUUUAUAAUACAUAUUGAACACAAUUAUAACCAUAAAUCUACAAAAUUUUACUUAUAGAUCUAUUACAAAACUCUUGAAAUCAUCCAAAAUAUAAAUCCUAUUUUAUUUCAUAAAAUCCAAGUCAUCCAAAAUAAACCUUUACUUUGCAAAGCUCUUACAAGGUCAAUACAGA
RNAcentral lists this long non-coding RNA (1520 nucleotides) under Physcomitrium patens. RNAcentral's name for it is "long non-coding RNA (PPAT_LNC007740)". Lineage: Eukaryota; Viridiplantae; Streptophyta; Bryopsida; Funariales; Funariaceae. The record is from RNAcentral.